AGUAACACGUGUGUAACCUGCCUGUCAGAAUGGGAUAACUCCGGGAAACCGGGGCUAAUACCGGAUGCUUGAUUGAACCGCAUGGUUCAAUCAUAAAAGGUGGCUUUUACCUCCCCCUUCCAAAUGAACCCCCGCCCCAUUACCUAUUUGGGAAGGUAACGGUCCCCCAAGGCAACAAUCCUAACCCAACCUAAAAGGGGAAUCGGCCCCCCGGGAACUAAAACCCGCCCCAAACCCCUACGGAAGGCACCAUAAGGAAACCUUCCCCAUGGAACAAAAUCCUAACGAACCACCCCCCCUGGAUUAAUAAAGGUUUUCGAAUCUAAAACUUCUUUUGUUAGGAAAAAACAAUACCCGUUCAAAUAGGGCGGACCCUUAACGGACCCUAACCAAAAACCCCCGGUAAAUUACUUGCCACCACCCCCGGAAUACCUAAGUUGGCAACCUUUGUCCGAAAUAAUGGGCCUUAAAGGCUCCCCAGCCGGUUCCUUAAUCCUAAUGUAAAACCCCCCGGUUCACCCGGGAAGGGUCUUUGAAAAUGGGGAAACUUAAUUGCAAAAAGAAAAUGGAAAUUCCACUUGUACCGUGAAAAUGCUAAAAAAGUUGAAGAAACCCAUGGCCAAAGGCAACUCCUGGCCUGUAAUUAACUUAAGACCAAAACCGGGGAACCAAACGGAUUAUAACCCGGUAAUCCCCCCCUAAACAAUAAGGCUAAGGUUAGAGGUUUCCCCCUUAAUGCUGCACCAACCAUUAACCCUCCCCCGGGAAUACGUCCCAGAAUGAACUCAAGAAUUAACGGGGCCCCCCAACGGGGAACAGUGGUUUAUUCAAACACCCGAGAACUUACCAGUCUGACUCUCUGAAACCUAAAAUAGACUCCCUUCGGGGCAAAUGACAGUGUGCAUGUUGUCUCACUCUGUCUGAAAGUUGGUUAAUCCGCACGACGCACCCUGAUCUAUUGCCACAUCAUUGGCAUCUAGUGAUGCGGGAAACCGAGAAGGUGGGAGACUCAAUCUCUGCCCUUGACUGGGUACAC
This 1036-nucleotide ribosomal RNA is filed under the name Bacillus subtilis. Its description in RNAcentral is "partial 16S ribosomal RNA". It matches the Rfam family "Bacterial small subunit ribosomal RNA", at positions 109 to 1219 of the family's 1533-position model. The record is from RNAcentral. Lineage: Bacteria; Bacillati; Bacillota; Bacilli; Caryophanales; Bacillaceae.